This 480-nucleotide ribosomal RNA is filed under the name uncultured bacterium. RNAcentral's name for it is "partial 16S ribosomal RNA". It matches the Rfam family "Bacterial small subunit ribosomal RNA", at positions 28 to 507 of the family's 1533-position model. The record is from RNAcentral.
GAUGAACGCUCGCGGCAGGCCUAACACAUGCAAGUCGAGGGGGAAGUUACUUUCGGGUGACUGAGACCGGCGUACGGGUGCGUAACGCGUAUACAAUCUGCCUUUCACUGGGGGAUAGCCCGAAGAAAUUUGGAUUAAUACCCCAUAGUAUAUAGGGACGGCAUCGUUUUUAUAUUAAAGCUUAGGUGGUGAAAGAUGAGUAUGCGUUCUAUUAGCUAGUUGGAGAGGUAACGGCUCCCCAAGGCGAUGAUAGAUAGGGGUUCUGAGAGGGAUGUCCCCCACACUGGUACUGAGAUACGGACCAGACUCCUACGGGAGGCAGCAGUGAGGAAUAUUGGACAAUGGUCGGAAGACUGAUCCAGCCAUGCCGCGUGCAGGAUGAAGGUCUUAUGGAUUGUAAACUGCUUUUGUAAGGGAAGAAUAAGGGCUACGCGUAGUUUGAUGACGGUACCUUACGAAUAAGCAUCGGCUAACUCCGUG